AGGAUGAACGCUGGCGGCGUGCUCAACACAUGCAAGUCAAGGGGGCCCAGCAAUGGGCAACCGGCGAACGGGUGCGUAACACGUGAGCAACCUACCGAAUUGUGGGGGAUAGCCGGCCCAACGGCCGGGUAAUACCGCAUACGCUCGAGACCAGGCAUUUGGACUCGAGGAAAUUUACGGAGCAAUUCGAGGGGCUCGCGGCCUAUCAGCUAGUUGGUGAGGUAACGGCCUACCAAGGCAUCGACGGGUAGCUGGUCUGAGAGGAUGAUCAGCCACACUGGGACUGAGACACGGCCCAGACUCCUACGGGAGGCAGCAGUGGGGAAUCUUGCGCAAUGGGCGAAAGCCUGACGCAGCAACGCCGCGUGCGGGAAGAAGGCCCUCGGGUGUAAACCGCUUCAGAAGG
This 406-nucleotide ribosomal RNA is filed under the name uncultured soil bacterium. Its description in RNAcentral is "bacterial SSU rRNA". It matches the Rfam family "Bacterial small subunit ribosomal RNA", at positions 26 to 442 of the family's 1533-position model. The record is from RNAcentral.